RNAcentral lists this unclassified non-coding RNA (395 nucleotides) under soil metagenome. Its description in RNAcentral is "partial contains 5.8S ribosomal RNA, internal transcribed spacer 2, and large subunit ribosomal RNA". The stretch from base 1 to 120 matches the Rfam family "5.8S ribosomal RNA", at positions 35 to 154 of the family's 154-position model. The record is from RNAcentral.
GAUGAAGAACGUAGCGAAAUGCGUUAAGUAAUGUGAAUUGCAGAAUUCAGUGAAUCAUCGAAUCUUUGAACGCACCUUGCGCCUUUUGGUAUUCCGAAAGGCACACCUGUUUGAGCGUCAUGAAUACCUCAAUCUCCAUCUUUUCUUCGGAUUGAUGGGUGACUUGGAUGUUGAGCCCUGCUGGUAUGCUAUAUCAGCUGGCUUUAAACUUAUUAGCCGGCUCUGUACUGGAUCGGUUUGACUCGACGUGAUAAUAUUAUCGUUGAGGAUGCAUGUCUCAUGCAGCCGGAAAGUAUCAAAGCAGCUUCUAGCUUGCCUUUAGCGCACUUUUACAUUUUAGACCUCAGAUCAGGUGGGACUACCCGCUGAACUUAAGCAUAUCAAUAAGCGGAGGA